CGGUAAUUCCAGCUCCAAUAGCGUAUACUAAAGUUGUUGCAGUUAAAAAGCUCGUAGUUGGAUUUCUGCGGGGACGGAGCGGCCGGACGCAACUUGCGUCUCGAGCUAGCGCUUUCCCCGCAUCCUGCCGCGAACCGUGCUACCAUUAGUUUGGUGGCGCUGGGGAUCGGCUCGAUUACUUUGAGAAAAAUAGAGUGUUCAAAGCAGGCCACACGCCUUGAAUAAGUUAGCAUGGAAUAAUGACUAAGGACUUUGGUUCUUUUCGUUGGUGUUCGGGACUGAAGUAAUGAUUGAUAGGGACAGUUGGGGCGGUCCGUAUUCCAAAGCGAGAGGUGAAAUUCUUAGACCUUCGGAAGACGAACAGCUGCGAAAGCGUUCCGCAAGGAUGUUCCCUUUGAUCAAGAACGAAAGUUGGGGGAUCGAAGACGAUCAGAUACCGUCGUAGUCUCAACUAUAAACUAUACCAGCUAGGGAUCGGCCAACGUUUAAUUAUUCGACUUGGUCGGCACCUUAUGAGAAAUCAAAGCAUCUGGGUUCCGGGGGGAGUAUGGUCGCAAGGCUGAAACUUAAAGGAAUUGACGGAAGGGCACCACCAGGCGUGGAGCCUGUGGCUUAAUUUGACUCAACACGGGAAAACUUACCAGGUCCAGACAUAGGAAGGAUUGACAGAUUGAUAGCUCUUUCUUGAUUCUGUGGGUGGUGGUGCAUGGCCGUUUUUAGUCGGUGAAGUGAUUUGUCUGCUUAAUUGCGUUAACGGACGAGACCCCAGCCUGCUAAAUAGCGCGGCCGAGCUUUGCUCGGUACGAGCUUCUUAGAGGGACCAUGAUGCGCGAUAGCACAAGGAAGUUUGGGGCAACAACAGGUCUGUGAUGCCCUUAGAUGUUCUGGGCCGCACACGGGCUACACUGGCGCCUGCAACGAGCAUAUCAGCUGGCCCGAGAGGGUCUUGGCUAAUCUUUGGAACCGGCGCCGUGCUUGGGAUUGACCAUUGCAAUUGUUGGUCAUGCAACGAGGAAUGCCUUGUAAACGCGAGUCAUCAGCUCGCAUUGAAUACGUUCCUGCCCCUUGUACACACCGCCC
Molecule: ribosomal RNA, 1080 nt
Filed under: uncultured Rhizaria
Lineage: Eukaryota
Description: SSU rRNA
Rfam family: Eukaryotic small subunit ribosomal RNA
Source: RNAcentral